CCUACGGUGGCUGCAGUGGGGAAUAUUGGACAAUGGGCGAAAGCCUGAUCCAGCCAUGCCGCGUGUGUGAAGAAGGCCUUCGGGUUGUAAAGCACUUUCAGUGGGGAAGAAAGCCUUGGGGCUAAUACCCUCGAGGAAGGACAUCACCCACAGAAGAAGCACCGGCUAACUCCGUGCCAGCAGCCGCGGUAAUACGGAGGGUGCGAGCGUUAAUCGGAAUUACUGGGCGUAAGGCGCGCGUAGGCGGUCUGAUAAGCCGGUUGUGAAAGCCCCGGGCUCAACCUGGGAACGGCAUCCGGAACUGUCAGGCUAGAGUGCAGGAGAGGAAGGUAGAAUUCCCGGUGUAGCGGUGAAAUGCGUAGAGAUCGGGAGGAAUACCAGUGGCGAAGGCGGCCUUCUGGACUGACACUGACGCUGAGGUGCGAAAGCGUGGGUAGCAAACAGGAUUAGAUACCCUUGUAGUC
Molecule: ribosomal RNA, 464 nt
Filed under: Vreelandella stevensii
Lineage: Bacteria; Pseudomonadati; Pseudomonadota; Gammaproteobacteria; Oceanospirillales; Halomonadaceae
Description: partial 16S ribosomal RNA
Rfam family: Bacterial small subunit ribosomal RNA
Source: RNAcentral